CCUACGGGAGGCAGCAGUGGGGAAUAUUGGGCAAUGGGCGCAAGCCUGACCCAGCAACGCCGCGUGAAGGAAGAAGGCUUUCGGGUUGUAAACUUCUUUUAUCAGGGACGAAGCAAGUGACGGUACCUGAUGAAUAAGCCACGGCUAACUACGUGCCAGCAGCCGCGGUAAUACGUAGGUGGCAAGCGUUAUCCGGAUUUACUGGGUGUAAGGGGCGUGUAGGCGGGAGUGCAAGUCAGAUGUGAAAACUAUGGGCUCAACCCAUAGCCUGCAUUUGGAACUGUACUUCUUGAGUGCUGGAGAGGCAAUCGGAAUUCCGGGUGUAGCGAUGAAAUGCGUAGAUAUACGGAGGAACACCAGUGGCGAAGGCGGAUUGCUAGACAGUAACUGACGCUGAGGCGCGAAAGCGUGGGGAGCAAACAGGAUUAGAUACCCCGGUAGUC
This 443-nucleotide ribosomal RNA is filed under the name uncultured bacterium. Its description in RNAcentral is "partial 16S ribosomal RNA". It matches the Rfam family "Bacterial small subunit ribosomal RNA", at positions 338 to 795 of the family's 1533-position model. The record is from RNAcentral.